Molecule: long non-coding RNA, 230 nt
Filed under: Sus scrofa (pig)
Lineage: Eukaryota; Metazoa; Chordata; Mammalia; Artiodactyla; Suidae
Description: lncRNA (ENSSSCG00005011312.1)
Source: RNAcentral
CCCCCACAGAAGCCACACAGAUGCCCGGGCUGCGAGGCCGGAGCUGGAACUUGCGGAGCUCGUGUGACGAGAGCACCCGCCCGGGACGAGGAAGGGCUCACCGGAGGGACCGCCAGCAGGGACAUCGUGGAGGCCGCCGGAGGCCGACUGGGGCGGGAGGGGCAGGGGGCACCAUGCCCUCCGGAGCUGCAGGGACAUGGAGCCUCCCAGCCUCGCGGGCUCCCCCCGGC